Molecule: ribosomal RNA, 206 nt
Filed under: uncultured bacterium
Lineage: Bacteria
Description: partial 16S ribosomal RNA
Rfam family: Bacterial small subunit ribosomal RNA
Source: RNAcentral
CGUGUAGGCGGCCCUGCAAGUCAGAGGUGAAAUCUCCCGGCUCAACCGGGAACGUGCCUUUGAAACUUCAGGGCUCGAGGUCGUGAGAGGAGACUGGAAUUCCUAGUGUAGCGGUGAAAUGCAUAGAUAUUAGGAAGAACACCAGUGGCGAAGGCGAGUCUCUGGCACGAUUCUGACGCUGAGGCGCGAAAGCUAGGGGAGCGAAC